CAGCACAUAUUGGUAAUCCUUCUCAUCUUCUCUACUAUUGUUGGUAAAGGCCUAAUGGGUACACCAAAUUGGGAUCUUUUUUUUAGGGUUGUCUCAGAUCUAGGGAUGAACUCGCCGGUCAGUCUCAUACUCGAUCGUUCUCGAUCAUUUUCACCCCAUAUUACAAAUGAUCGACUUUGAUCCAACCUUGAAUCUCUUGGCUGGCCGGGUUCUUAUCUUGUUCGCUUCUGAGAUCAAGAGCGGAGCAAACCCAAACUAGAUUACAUUCAUUCAUCGGGUUUCCAUCAGUUGAGGGAGCUCAGUGGAAGAAUCGGAGCAAGCCACAAUGGAAGUCGCGAAUCCUAUUCCAAUUCCAUUGAAUUCGCUGUGCUUCUGGAUACUUGUGUGUUACAUUUGGAGGUUUUUCAUGAAAUGCAACAUUUGAGAUUAGCGAUUCAACUUGAAAAAAAAAGAAAAAAAAAUCUCUAACGAUUGGUUUGGCUCUAGAGGAAGUGACACUGGAGUCACUAUCCAGACCUACCAGGUGUCUAAUGUUGAUAAGGUGAGAAUUGAUCACAUGGCUGUUGCUUUGUCAAAGACAUUCAAGUCACCAGUAGUGGAUACCAUACAAUGUCUUCCUCAACAUCAACAGAUUAUAGUUGUGCUCUGCUGCAAAGCAUUUCCGUGGUGUAAAGAAAGAUACAACUAUAGAAGAGUUAAAUAAAUAUUCUUACUUGGACAUCUGCAAAUCAAUACUAAUUCCACCAGUUGGAAGUUUUCAAUUUUCAAGUGUGCAAAGUGCUACAUGACCAGGGGACUCUUCUUAGUUACUUGUAGAGUUGCUGGAAAGUUACUGGACUUUACUAUGUUUUGGUAUGCUAAUGACUAAUUCUGCAGGGGUGGUUAUUUUCACAUGAUCCAUUCUGGAGGCCUGCACAAAUGAAGGUUAUAUUUACAAUUUUUGUUUUGGGUAUAUUGUUCCCUUUUAUUUAUCUGUUGUCAUUAACAAUGGAACAUACUUCUUUCCAGACACUUUUACAUUAUGUUCCUGCAGGGAGGGUGGUAGUCCUUGAUCUGUUUGCUGAUAUGAAACUGAUAUGUGAAUUGAACUUGUAGAGUUAGAGUUUGAUUGAUUGACGUAAUGAGUACUGCUACUUGUACAUUUUUAAUUGUCAUUUUGUAAAUGAAAUUACUUAUAAUGAUAAUCUGAUUGAAAUGUUUCUCUUACAUCUAAUUUGUCAUAUGGAUAUGGUGAUACAAAUGUGAAAUUGGUAGAAAUAUAAUUUUUUUUUAUUAAAAAAAACUGUUUUUACGGCGUGCAAGUUGCGCCUUAAAUGGGAACUCAAUCACACUUUUACGGCACACAUUAUACGCCUUAAAUGGGAACGCAAUCAAGUCUUUUACGGCGUGCAACAUGUGACGUAAAUAACAUGAGUGACAUUUCCAAUAUCACUUUCAUGGCGUUCUUAGAUGCACUUUAACGGCGCAUUUUAGUGUGCCGUAAAUGAGGU
Long non-coding RNA from Rosa rugosa (rugosa rose), 1490 nucleotides. RefSeq lists it as uncharacterized. The record is from RefSeq and is a predicted model, not a curated record. The transcript is spliced from 7 exons. NCBI's taxonomy places the organism in Eukaryota, Viridiplantae, Streptophyta, Magnoliopsida, Rosales, Rosaceae.